UGUUUGCUGACGAUGCUCUGGUGUACGGGAUGGUGUCGAAGAUGCGACUGCAGUUUUCUUACCUCACAAGGCAUAUCCACACGUCAUUUUAAUAACAGAUAUAUUCGCACUGAGAACCAAUGAGAAAACAGAAGUGAACGCAGUGUAUCUGUAAGGCAGGGGCGAUGGUCAUCUGGAUUCCUGCUCAUGAAGACACCUGCUCAUUGGGACAAAUAUUCCAUGAAAACACCAUCCCACCUUGGAAGUACUCUGCAUACCACAGAACCCUGCCAUGCAAGACAAUUGUCAUGACAUCACUUGUCAAAGGAAACUCACAGAAUAAAUACAGAGCUAAUUGACAAAGGCUAAUAUGUAUUGUGAGCUAUGUUGAAGUCAUAUGCU
Molecule: long non-coding RNA, 381 nt
Organism: Schistocerca nitens (vagrant locust)
Lineage: Eukaryota; Metazoa; Arthropoda; Insecta; Orthoptera; Acrididae
Exons: 3
Source: RefSeq, a predicted model, not a curated record